This 415-nucleotide ribosomal RNA is filed under the name uncultured bacterium. RNAcentral's name for it is "bacterial SSU rRNA". It matches the Rfam family "Bacterial small subunit ribosomal RNA", at positions 355 to 787 of the family's 1533-position model. The record is from RNAcentral.
UGAGGAAUAUUGGUCAAUGGGCGUAAGCCUGAUGCAGCGACGCCGCGUGAAGGAUGAAGUAUUUCGGUAUGUAAACUUCUAUCAGCAGGGAAGAAAAUGACGGUACCUGACUAAGAAGCCCCGGCUAACUACGUGCCAGCAGCCGCGGUAAUACGUAGGGGGCAAGCGUUAUCCGGAUUUACUGGGUGUAAAGGGAGCGUAGACGGCUUAGCAAGUCUGAAGUGAAAGCCCGCGGCUCAACUGCGGGACUGCUUUGGAAACUGUGUUGCUGGAGUGCCGGAGAGGUAAGUGGAAUUCCUAGUGUAGCGGUGAAAUGCGUAGAUAUUAGAAGGAACACCAGUGGCGAAGGCGGCUUACUGGACGGUAACUGACGUUGAGGCUCGAAAGCGUGGGGAGCGAACAGGAUUAGAUACCC